Non-coding RNA from Paramuricea clavata, 578 nucleotides. NCBI's taxonomy places the organism in Eukaryota, Metazoa, Cnidaria, Anthozoa, Malacalcyonacea, Plexauridae. The record is from the annotation of a GenBank genome assembly.
AGUGCCCACACUACGGAUAAACUACCUCACUUCCUGAACGAAUACCUGGUUAAUUAAAAAUAGGUGACAGCGAUUGGAUAACAUCAAAUUUACUAACAAUACACAAUGUAGUUGAUAUAAGAUGUACACAUUUCUUGACAAUUUAGUUUUUAAAAUUAAAUUUAGUUUUCAAAAUACGUCUGUUUUUUUUAUUUUCCAAAUUAUUCGAACCGGAGAAUUAUUCACUAAUUUGAUCAUGAUAUACUGUAUAGCGCACUGCAUUGUACAAAUCAAGCGCACGAGGGCCAUAUUCAUGCGGACCACAAUUUCUUUUGUAAAGUUGCUGACAUUUUACAAGAGGUUCAUUUAGUUUCUGAUUUUCGUUGGGAAUGAUCAGAAUUUUCUAGUAAAUAGCGAACGAUCAAUUGCCUCAGAUUAGUUAUGUAGAUAAUGUAUACUCCAAGCGCGAAUAUCCAAUAUCCAAAUAUGAUAAGCAUUGCAUGCAGUACAUUAAUUGGCUCUUGUGUUGUCGUGGUCACCACACUUGCCCUUCAUGCUACUAGACCCGUUUCAAUCCUUGGUCGGACCUCUACUCAAGG